GGUUAAGCGACUAAGCGUACACGGUGGAUGCCCUGGCAGUCAGAGGCGAUGAAGGACGUGCUAAUCUGCGAAAAGCGUCGGUAAGGUGAUAUGAACCGUUAUAACCGGCGAUGUCCGAAUGGGGAAACCCAGUGCAAUUCGUUGCACUAUCGUUAACUGAAUACAUAGGUUAACGAGGCGAACCGGGGGAACUGAAACAUCUAAGUACCCCGAGGAAAAGAAAUCAACCGAGAUUCCCCCAGUAGCGGCGAGCGAACGGGGAGCAGCCCAGAGUCUGAAUCAGCUUGUGUGUUAGUGGAACGGUCUGGAAAGUCCGACGGUACAGGGUGAUAGUCCCGUACACCAAAAUGCACAGGCUGUGAACUCGAAGAGUAGGGCGGGACACGUGGUAUCCUGUCUGAAUAUGGGGGGACCAUCCUCCAAGGCUAAAUACUCCUGACUGACCGAUAGUGAACCAGUACCGUGAGGGAAAGGCGAAAAGAACCCCGGCGAGGGGAGUGAAAAAGAACCUGAAACCGUGUACGUACAAGCAGUGGGAGCACCUUCGGGUGUGACUGCGUACCUUUUGUAUAAUGGGUCAGCGACUUAUAUUCUGUAGCAAGGUUAACCGUAUAGGGGAGCCGCAGGGAAACCGAGUCUUAACUGGGCGUUAAGUUGCAGGGUAUAGACCCGAAACCCGGUGAUCUAGCCAUGGGCAGGUUGAAGGUUGGGUAACACUAACUGGAGGACCGAACCGACUAAUGUUGAAAAAUUAGCGGAUGACUUGUGGCUGGGGGUGAAAGGCCAAUCAAACCGGGAGAUAGCUGGUUCUCCCCGAAAGCUAUUUAGGUAGCGCCUCGUGAAUUCAUCUUCGGGGGUAGAGCACUGUUUCGGCUAGGGGGUCAUCCCGACUUACCAACCCGAUGCAAACUACGAAUACCGAAGAAUGUUAUCACGGGAGACACACGGCGGGUGCUAACGUCCGUCGUGAAGAGGGAAACAACCCAGACCGCCAGCUAAGGUCCCAAAGUCAUGGUUAAGUGGGAAACGAUGUGGGAAGGCACAGACAGCCAGGAUGUUGGCUUAGAAGCAGCCAUCAUUUAAAGAAAGCGUAAUAGCUCACUGGUCGAGUCGGCCUGCGCGGAAGAUGUAACGGGGCUAAACCAUGCACCGAAGCUGCGGCAGCGACACUAUGUGUUGUUGGGUAGGGGAGCGUUCUGUAAGCCUGCGAAGGUGACCUGUGAGGGUUGCUGGAGGUAUCAGAAGUGCGAAUGCUGACAUAAGUAACGAUAAAGCGGGUGAAAAGCCCGCUCGCCGGAAGACCAAGGGUUCCUGUCCAACGUUAAUCGGGGCAGGGUGAGUCGACCCCUAAGGCGAGGCCGAAAGGCGUAGUCGAUGGGAAACAGGUUAAUAUUCCUGUACUUGGUGUUACUGCGAAGGGGGGACGGAGAAGGCUAUGUUAGCCGGGCGACGGUUGUCCCGGUUUAAGCAUGUAGGCUGGUUGUCCAGGCAAAUCCGGAUAAUCAAGGCUGAGGUGUGAUGACGAGGCACUACGGUGCUGAAGUAACAAAUGCCCUGCUUCCAGGAAAAGCCUCUAAGCAUCAGGUAACAUUAAAUCGUACCCCAAACCGACACAGGUGGUCAGGUAGAGAAUACCAAGGCGCUUGAGAGAACUCGGGUGAAGGAACUAGGCAAAAUGGUGCCGUAACUUCGGGAGAAGGCACGCUGGUGUGUAGGUGAAG
RNAcentral lists this ribosomal RNA (1721 nucleotides) under Klebsiella pneumoniae. Its description in RNAcentral is "partial 23S ribosomal RNA". It matches the Rfam family "Bacterial large subunit ribosomal RNA", at positions 1 to 1767 of the family's 2925-position model. The record is from RNAcentral. Lineage: Bacteria; Pseudomonadati; Pseudomonadota; Gammaproteobacteria; Enterobacterales; Enterobacteriaceae.